GGGGGAGAGAAACUUUAUGGCAAGAGGUACGCCAGUGGACUCCAAAUCCACCGUUAAGAGGUUUGAUUCCUCCCUCCCCUGCCA
Molecule: transfer RNA, 84 nt
Filed under: Bacillus phage vB_BanS-Thrax3
Lineage: Duplodnaviria; Heunggongvirae; Uroviricota; Caudoviricetes
Description: tRNA-Trp
Source: RNAcentral